GAUGAACGCUGGCGGCGUGCCUAAUACAUGCAAGUCGAGCGAACAGACGAGGAGCUUGCUCCUCUGACGUUAGCGGCGGACGGGUGAGUAACACGUGGAUAACCUACCUAUAAGACUGGGAUAACUUCGGGAAACCGGAGCUAAUACCGGAUAAUAUAUUGAACCGCAUGGUUCAAUAGUGAAAGACGGUUUUGCUGCCACUUAUAGAUGGAUCCGCGCCGCAUUAGCUAGUUGGUAAGGUAACGGCUUACCAAGGCAACGAUGCGUAGCCGACCUGAGAGGGUGAUCGGCCACACUGGAACUGAGACACGGUCCAGACUCCUACGGGAGGCAGCAGUAGGGAAUCUUCCGCAAUGGGCGAAAGCCUGACGGGGCAACGCCGCGUGAGUGAUGAAGGUCUUCGGAUCGUAAAACUCUGUUAUUAGGGAAGAACAAAUGUGUAAGUAACUAUGCACGUCUUGACGGUACCUAAUCAGAAAGCCACGGCUAACUACGUG
RNAcentral lists this ribosomal RNA (497 nucleotides) under uncultured bacterium. Its description in RNAcentral is "partial 16S ribosomal RNA". It matches the Rfam family "Bacterial small subunit ribosomal RNA", at positions 28 to 507 of the family's 1533-position model. The record is from RNAcentral.